AUGCCGGAUCUUGGGGCGAACAACGGAGGCGGAGGACUUGGAGCUCCGGACGUCGGCGCAACUGGAGCAUGGGGAGGCGAAGCAGGCGGGAGCAUAGGAGAGGUAGAGGCGUCGGGCUCCGGCGACAGGAUGGACAUUGGCGACAGGGACAGCACGGGACGUCGGACCGAAGAGCGAGCGUCGCUCGGCGGCAGGGCCGGCGCUGGACGUGGCUGCCGGAGGGAGAUCGGGCGCGGGCGUCGGAGACGGGUGCUCGCGGCAGGAGGGGAUCGGGUCGAGGCGCGAUGGAAGGAGGGGCCGGCGCGGGAUCCAGGCAGCAGAGGGAGGAGGGCCACAGAUCGGGAGGCGCGGGCGUGCGCUCCUCUCUGGUGCAUUGUGUGUGUGGUGGCGGCGCUGAGGAAACGAACGGGAGGAGGAGGGAACGAGAGAAGGGGUGCGCGAUUGGGAUUGGGGAAACAGUCGGGCUAG
This 468-nucleotide ribosomal RNA is filed under the name Triticum aestivum (bread wheat). Its description in RNAcentral is "partial small subunit ribosomal RNA". Lineage: Eukaryota; Viridiplantae; Streptophyta; Magnoliopsida; Poales; Poaceae. The record is from RNAcentral.